CACGUAGGGUGCGAGCGUUGUCCGGAAUUAUUGGGCGUAAAGAGCUCGUAGGCGGUGUGUCGCGUCGGCCGUGAAAACCUGCAGCUUAACUGUGGGCGUGCGGUCGAUACGGGCAGACUAGAGUGCGGUAGGGGAGAUUGGAAUUCCUGGUGUAGCGGUGGAAUGCGCAGAUAUCAGGAGGAACACCGAUGGCGAAGGCAGAUCUCUGGGCCGUAACUGACGCUGAGGCGCGAAAGCCAGGGGAGCAAAUGGG
RNAcentral lists this ribosomal RNA (253 nucleotides) under uncultured bacterium. Its description in RNAcentral is "partial 16S ribosomal RNA". It matches the Rfam family "Bacterial small subunit ribosomal RNA", at positions 524 to 776 of the family's 1533-position model. The record is from RNAcentral.